RNAcentral lists this ribosomal RNA (433 nucleotides) under uncultured bacterium. Its description in RNAcentral is "partial 16S ribosomal RNA". It matches the Rfam family "Bacterial small subunit ribosomal RNA", at positions 29 to 507 of the family's 1533-position model. The record is from RNAcentral.
AACGAACGCUGGCGGCAUGCCUAACACAUGCAAGUCGAACGAGACCUUCGGGUCUAGUGGCGCACGGGUGCGUAACGCGUGGGAACCUGCCCUUAGGUUCGGAAUAACUCCCCGAAAGGGGUGCUAAUACCGGAUAAUGUCUUCGGACCAAAGAUUUAUCGCCCUUUGAUGGGCCCGGGUUGGAUUAGCUAGUUGGUUGGGUAAAAGCCGACCAAGGCGACGAUCCAUAGCUGGUCUGAGAGGAUGAUCAGCCACACUGGGACUGCGACACGGCCCAGACUCCUACGGGAGGCAGCAGUGGGGAAUAUUGGACAAUGGGCGAAAGCCUGAUCCAGCAAUGCCGCGUGAGUGAUGAAGGCCUUAGGGUUGUAAAGCUCUUUUACCCGGGAUGAUAAUGACAGUACCGGGAGAAUAAGCUCCGGCUAACUCCGUG